Schizosaccharomyces pombe (fission yeast) is the source of this 215-nucleotide non-coding RNA. NCBI's taxonomy places the organism in Eukaryota, Fungi, Ascomycota, Schizosaccharomycetes, Schizosaccharomycetales, Schizosaccharomycetaceae. The record is from the annotation of a GenBank genome assembly.
GCUCUUAAAAGGUCACCUUUAGUGGCAAAGCUCUUUACAGUUGGGUUUUGUAGAAAUGAGGCCUUCCCAUAUUCUACCGGCUUUCCGAGCUGUACCAUGACGUUCUUUAAAAUGAUUAACAGGAGGUUUGAAAGUAGUGCUAAAUUACGUUAAAACUCAACAUGAUUAAUUCAUUCGUCUAGUCAUCACUGCUCGGCUCACUAAUAUCGUUGGUA